ACAACUGUAGAUAAGUGUUACUCUUGAUUGAUUCUCAUGCAGUGAAUCAUUUUCACCCUUCUACUUGCCCAAGCUUGCUUCAACUAAGGAAGCUGUCAUGUGAAAACACCCUUAGUUGCCUCAGACAGGUGACCUUCACAUUGCAUUACUGGUUGAUAGCCCCAUUGACCCUAAGUUCCUUUGAGGACUCUUCCUGUUACGAGAAGGGUCUUGCAGGCAGAUGUCCAGAUUUUAAGACAAGGUUGUCCUUGUCCUGGAGAGAAGUCACAAUUAAUCAAGAUUACAGGUGGAAAUGCAUCCCAACAGCAGGAGGUGCUUCUUUCCAUUGCACACCAGCCAAACCAGCUCACCACAUUCAUUCAUCAUGCCUGAGCACUGACCCCAUGUCUUGAGGGCAAAAAUGGUCCAGACCGAGGGAGACAAUGAAGAUGGGAGAGACAAAGAUGGCAAACUAGAUUAAGAAACGCAAACACUGGGGUCAUGCAGGGUUUUCCUGCAGACAGGGACAUUAAUAAACCUGAAACUGCACUGAGCUCUGAUGAUGAGCUUAACUUGCACUGGGAGAUGCACAAAUGCCACAUUGCUGAUGAUAUUUAUCAAUUGAUAGCUGUGAAUUAUCCCACACUGAGAUCAAAGGAAGACACUGGGGGAGGACAGUAAUUUAUACUCCCUCAGAAGUCAUUUCAUUUCUUUGCAUUUUCCCAUUUAAGGUGACGUAGCUUUUGAUAAGGGGAACAGGCCUGAGAAACUGUAAUUACGACACUAAAGGUCAGCAUGGUGCAGUAUCUUUGAACACAUUUGGACUAUCAUUAGUCUGAAAGUGAUAGUGGGUUACGAACUGUGAGCGUAUCAUUGUAAAUGGCCGAGCUACUUAGCUGUCUCUGAGCGACUGUAGAUUGUCCUCAGUGGAAUGUGUGUGUGGACAGAAAACUGUGUAUUGUGGUCUUUCAACAGCUAAAGGUGCUAUUAGAGGAACAGAUAAAUAUGCUAGUGAAUAUCUUAGCUACCUUUCACUUUGAUUCAGACCUCAGUUGACCUGUUUGUUCCAGAAUAUGUUCUUGUUUUCUUAACCAUUUGCAUGAUUUUUCUGUCUUGUUGAGAAGUCGUUUAAAAAAAAAAUGGCAUUGAACUAUUGAAUCUGCAUUGAACUGUCUUGAGCUGAAUAAUGACACUAUUGUCUUCUGUAGAGCUGCUUUACAGCUGAAACUGAAUUAGUUUCAUAAUUGCUGAAUUUUUCCUGUUUGUUUCUUUCAAGCUGCUUUGAAACUAUCUGCAUUACAUAAAGCACUAUUAAAAUAAAUGUGACUUGAUUCGACUUGCAGUGUGACUUAUGAACAGUACUUUUUAGUGAAUUAAACACAUACAGCGCAACCAGUGUAGCCGGAUUCCUGAAUGAUCGACUGUACUUUGGUGAAUCAAAACUAUACUAUGUAACCAUUUGAUCUGAUUACAAUAAAUGAAUCAUAGUGAGUUGGUUCUUUUUAAAGAAGAAAACUUAUUCAACUUACAAAUAACUGUGAAACAUAGGUUGAAUUAAAUGUGUUACUGACUGGUUGUGUAUAUAAGAACAUGUAGUUGAAGACACUAAUUGCUUAUAUACAUACAUACAUAUAUAUAUAUAUAUAUAUAUACCAUCAUUUAAUACCAACUAUAUAAUAAAUAAACAAGUCUUAGCUUUUCAGCACUGCAUGUUUACUGGACAAUGUUACGGCAAUCAUUUGACACGUUUGUCAUUAGCAAAAGGUCUGGGGAGGAAAUUGAAUUUAAACAGCUUGUUGGAGCCAAACACAAUAAGACUGAAUUAGUU
This is a long non-coding RNA of Cyprinus carpio carpio, 1807 nucleotides long. The record is from Ensembl. NCBI's taxonomy places the organism in Eukaryota, Metazoa, Chordata, Actinopteri, Cypriniformes, Cyprinidae.